UACGAAGGGGGCUAGCGUUGCUCGGAAUCACUGGGCGUAAAGCGCACGUAGGCGGAUUGUUAAGUCAGGGGUGAAAUCCUGGAGCUCAACUCCAGAACUGCCUUUGAUACUGGAGAGCUAGAGUCCGGAAGAGGUGAGUGGAACUGCGAGUGUAGAGGUGAAAUUCGUAGAUAUUCGCAAGAACACCAGUGGCGAAGGCGGCUCACUGGUCCGGUACUGACGCUGAGGUGCGAAAGCGUGGGGAGCAAACAGG
Molecule: ribosomal RNA, 253 nt
Filed under: uncultured bacterium
Lineage: Bacteria
Description: partial 16S ribosomal RNA
Rfam family: Bacterial small subunit ribosomal RNA
Source: RNAcentral